Molecule: ribosomal RNA, 4378 nt
Filed under: Patescibacteria group bacterium
Lineage: Bacteria
Description: 23S ribosomal RNA
Rfam family: Bacterial large subunit ribosomal RNA
Source: RNAcentral
UAGGAAAUUAAGAGCAUAUGGUGGAUGCCUUGACUUGAAGAGGCGAUGAAGGACGCGGUCUGGCUGCGAUAAGCUUCGGGGAGGUGCCUAGCAACCUUUGAUCCGAAGAUUUCCGAAUGGGGAAACCCCUCGUGCUUGACACGAGACUCUGUAGCAAUACAGAGAGCAUACCCAGGGAAGUAAAACAUUUCAGUACCUGGUGGAAAAGAAAACAAUGUUCGCAAGAACGAUAUUUCCUAAGUAGCGGCGAGCGAAAAGGAAAGAGCCCAAACCUACUUUCGUAAGAAAGUGGGGGUUGUAAGGUGAGAGCGUGCUAUUUAUAGCAGUAGAGUUAAAAAGUAGUGUCUUAGUUUAAAUAUCUGAAAAGAUAUACCCCAGAGGGUUAUAGUCCCGUAAACGAAAAUAUACUAUCUCUAUUGCUCUCAUUCUUGAGUACCUCGAGACACGAAUGGCUCGGGGGAAUCUGCCGGAACUAACCGGUAAGGCUAAAUACUCUUCAAGAUCGAUAGUGAACUAGUACCGUGAGGGAAAGGUGAAAAGUAGCCCGUCAAGGGCGGUGAAAUAGACCUGAAACCAUAUGCUUACAAGGAGUAGAAGCGGUGUCUCGCUUGUGUGCGGUAGUGCCGAGAAGUGUAAACUUUUCUGUGCUACUUUGUGCAAGUGAGACACCGUGACUGCGUGCCUAUUGAAGAAUGAGCCAACGAGUUAAUGUAUGCUGCAAGCUAAGUCCUUUACCGGAUGGAGCUUUAGGGAAACCGAGUGUUAAUAGCGCGUCUGUAGUAUACAUUAGACCCGAAGCCAGGUGAGCUUGUCAUGCGCAGGGUGAACUCUCGAGAAAUCGAGAGGGAGGCCCGAACCGGUGAGCCGUUCAAUACUCUCGGAUGACGUGUGAUAAGGAGUGAUAAGCUAAUCGAACCUGGUAAUAGCUGGUUCUCUCCGAAAUAGCUUUUGGGCUAGCGUCGGAAUUACCUUUGAGGGGUAGAGCACUGGAAGGUCUUGACAGGUCGAAAGAUCCCGAGACCUAUCAAACUCCGAAUACUCAGAGUAAAUUUUCCGGCAGUUAGACUGUGGGGGCUAAGCUCCAUUGGUCAAAAGGGAAACAGCCCGGAUCUCCAUUUAAGGUCCCUAAAUCUAUGUUAAGUACGCUUAAGGUGGUAAGUUUUCUCAAACAAUGAGGAUGUUGGCUUAGAAGCAGCCAUCAUUUAAAGAAAGCGUAACAGCUCACUCAUCGAGAGAAUUUGCGCCGCAGAUAAUCGGGGUUAAACAUAGUACCGAAACUGAGGAUUGCAUAUGUCUUCGGACGUAUGCACUGGUAGGAGAGUAUUCGCAACUGCACUGAAGGCAAAGGGGUGACCCAUGCUGGAGCGUUGCGAAGUAAGAAUGUUGGCACAAGUAACCACAAUGCAGGUGAGAUACCUGCACGCCGAAAGAUCAAGGUUUCCUUGGCUAUGUAAAUCAGCCAAGGGUUAGUCGGGCCUAAGGGAAUGGCGAAAGCCGUACUCGAUGGACACAUGGUUAAUAUUCCAUGACGUAUUGUGUGUGCGACGGGAUGACGAAGGGUAGUAUGUGUAGCGCAUUAUUGGAUUUGCGUUUGUGUCGUAAGGGUGAUUUCCAGGAAAAUCCGGAAGUCUGUGUUUAAUCACGCUCCAAGCGAUAUGAAGAUGCUCGGGUUCGCCCGGGUAAAUUAUACAAAGCACGCUUUCAAGAAAAAUCUCUAAGCAUAACGCACAGUACACCGUACCGCAAACCGACACAGGUGAUCAGCUCGAGUAGAGUAAGGCGAACGAGUGAUUUUUCUCCAAGGAACUCGGCAAAAAAGCAGCCGUAACUUCGGAAUAUGGCUUGCCCCGCAUCACGGUGAACGUGAUGCGAUGAAAAUCCGAAUAUCGAAAUCCUAAAUCCGAAACAAAACCCGAAAAUCAUAAAUUCAAAAUUUUAAACGGACUCGUUUAUUAUUUUGAUAUUUGAAUUUGUUUAGAGUUUAGUGCUUCGUACUUCGAAUUUUCGUCACCAUCAUCGCGCUUAGCGUGAUGCGGGGCCGCAGCGAAAGUAUCCCUGGCAACUGUUUAUCAAAAACACAGCUCCCUGCGAACUCGUAAGAGGAUGUAUAGGGGGUGACACUUGACCAAUGCCAGAAGGUCAAACGACGGUGGUACUAUGGUCGCAAGAUUGUAGUGCUGGAUGUUGUAAGCCCUGGUGAAUGUCGGCCGUAACUAUAACGGUCCUAAGGUUGUGUCUCUUGCAAAGGCAGGAGACACAAGGACUAGGACUGUUAUGAUUACUGGGUGUAGGUAAACAAAAUUAAAAAGCUGCCUAUCUAUGCAGAACAAAAAUUAGAUGUCCUUAAUAAAUAUCUGACUAUAUGCUGGGAAAUCUGUGCAUUAAAUUGUUGUAAGGCUGAUACUACUAUGGUAUAAUCAUUCCAUAUGGAAUACAUCUCUAGUAAAAAAGUAAUCAGUGCGGAUAAUCAGCAGGAAAGACUAAAAAUUGAAUCAUGGAUUGUGGGUUUUACUGAUGGGGAAGGAUGUUUUUCGGUAAGUAUUUUGAAAAACAAAACUUCUAAAAAUGGUUGGCAAGUAUUUCCAGAGUUUGUAAUAACUCAAGGAAAGAAAAGUCUACCAGCACUUGAAGUAUGCAAAGAAUAUUUUAAGUGUGGAAAAAUAUUUGUGAAUGCUCGGUACGAUAAUCACAAAGAAGAUAUCUAUCGAUAUUGUAUUCGAUCUAUUUUUGAGCUUAAUGAGCGGAUCGUUCCGUUUUUUAAGCAAAACCAACUCAGAACCCACAAACAAAAUGAUUUCGAGAUUUUUGCGAGAAUAAUUGAUUCUAUGAGUAAUAAAAAGCAUCUCACCGAUGAAGGUUUUGUUGAGAUAGCAGAGCUCAUCCAAACAAUGAAUACAAAGAAGAAAUCAAGAUUUUUAGAAUCCUCAGAAACCAAACGUCAGACUCAUAAAUAAUGAGAAGAUAGAGUUCAGGUUUUGGAAUACCUUAGCGAAAUUCCUUGUCAGGUAAGUUCUGACGUGCACGAAUAGUGUAAUGACUGGGGAACUGUCUCGGAGAAUAGCUCGGUGAAAAUACAAUACCGGUGAAGAUGCCGGUUACCUGCAGUUAGACGAAAAGACCCUAGAAGCUUUACUGCAGCUUGAUAUUGAGUAUAUGUUUUUGAUGCGUAGCGUAGAUGGGAGGAUUUGAAGUGUAUCUUUCGGGGUGCAUGGAUCCGCAAGUGAAAUACCAUUCUUUAAAAAUAUAUAUUCUAACCUGUACGGCAAAAACGCACAGGGACAUUAUCUGGUGGGCAGUUUUAGUGGGGCGCUAUCCUCCUAAAGAGUAACGGAGGAGUUUAUUAAGGUCAGCUAGCCGUGAAUGGAAACCAUGGCGAUAGUGUAAUGGCAUAAGCUGGCUUAACUGUAAGACGUACUUGUCGAGCAGAUGCGAAAGCAGAACAUAGUGAACCGACCAUUCGCAUUAGACGCGGUGGAAGAUUAUCGGAUAAAAGCUACUCUAGGGAUAACAGGCUGGUUGUGCCUAAGAGUUCAUAUCGACGGCACAGUUCGGCACCUCGAUGUCGGCUCAACUUAUCCUGGGGGUGGAGAAGCUCCCAAGGGUAUGGCUGUUCGCCAUUUAAAAAGUUACGCGAGCUGGGUUCAGACCGUUUAGAAAUUAAAUUCGAAAUUCAAAUAUCGAAAUCCUAAACAAUAUCAAAAUCAAAAAUCCAAAAGUUUUAAACAUUUGAAUUUAGAGAUUGGAAUUUGUUUCGGGUUUAGGAUUUCGAUUUCGUACUUUGAUUCCUAGACAGUCUGAAUCCCAUCGAAAUUUUCGUUUAUAUUAAAAAUAGUUAGGAAGUAGAUCAAUCAAACACGGCGGUCCCGCAUAGCAAUAUGCGAAGAUCAAGUUGACUAGUAUCGGUGGAGGCCUAAAUACACCCAGUGUUGGUUAAUACCGAGGGAAACAUUCUUGUAAAAGAUGUACCCGUAGAGACUGAACGUCAACACUCUCAAAUUUCCAGACCUAAAACACGAAUACGUGUUCGGUCAAGUGAAAAUUUGAGAACAUGCUCCAGUCCAUUGCAGAGAGUAAUCUCUGGUAACAAGCGUGAGACAGGUUGGUCUCCUAUCUUCUGCAGGCGUUGAUUCUUGAGGAGAUUUGCUUCUAGUACGAGAGGACCGAAGUGAACGAACCUCUGGUGUAUCUGCUGUCCUGCCAAGGGCACCGCAGAGUAGCUAUGUUCGGAAUGGAUAACCUCUGAAAGCAUCUAAGAGGGAAGCCAACUCCAAGAUUAGGAAUCGUUUGAGACACGUGAGAGAUGAUCACGUUGAUAGGCUUUAGAUGUACGCACCGUAAGGUGCUUAGUCGUGAAGUACUAAUUAGUCGAUUCCUAUUA